UGCUGGUCUGAGAGCAGUGCUGUUUACAACCAAUUGAUCACAACCAGUUACAGAUUCCUUUGUUCCUUCUCCACUCCCACUGUUUCACUUGACCUCAAAAA
This 101-nucleotide Y RNA is filed under the name Microcebus murinus (gray mouse lemur). Its description in RNAcentral is "Y RNA (ENSMICG00000043565.1)". It matches the Rfam family "Y RNA". Rfam says of the family: Y RNAs are components of the Ro ribonucleoprotein particle (Ro RNP), in association with Ro60 and La proteins. The Y RNAs and Ro60 and La proteins are well conserved, but the function of the Ro RNP is not known. The record is from RNAcentral. Lineage: Eukaryota; Metazoa; Chordata; Mammalia; Primates; Cheirogaleidae.